GACGAACGCUGGCGGCGUGCUUAACACAUGCAAGUCGAACGGAAAGGCCCUGCUUUUGUGGGGUGCUCGAGUGGCGAACGGGUGAGUAACACGUGAGUAACCUGCCCUUGACUUUGGGAUAACUUCAGGAAACUGGGGCUAAUACCGGAUAGGAGCUCCUGCUGCAUGGUGGGGGUUGGAAAGUUUCGGCGGUUGGGGAUGGACUCGCGGCUUAUCAGCUUGUUGGUGGGGUAGUGGCUUACCAAGGCUUUGACGGGUAGCCGGCCUGAGAGGGUGACCGGCAAAAUUGGGACGGGGAUACGGCCCAGACCCCUCCGGGGGGCAGCAGUGGGGAAUAUGGCACAAGGGGCGGAAGCCUGAUGCAGCAACGCCGGGGGGGGGAUGACGGCCUUCGGGUUGUAAACCGCUUUCGCCUGUGACGAAGCGUGAGUGACGGUAAUGGGUAAAGAAGCACCGGCUAACUACGU
This 467-nucleotide ribosomal RNA is filed under the name uncultured bacterium. Its description in RNAcentral is "partial 16S ribosomal RNA". It matches the Rfam family "Bacterial small subunit ribosomal RNA", at positions 28 to 506 of the family's 1533-position model. The record is from RNAcentral.